GCUGCCGCACCAGAGCACUUUCCGGCCGCAAACGAGGUAAAAUUUCUCCCAUUGGCUCGGAUUUCGAUGCUGAACCCCCUGUGGCUAAAUCGGAGCCAAACCAUCGGUCAAUUUGCUGGAAAAUGCUGCCGAAGCCCAGCGGCGCCGCCACAGGUUUUUUCGAUUUUUGCCUCCGAUGAGGUCCUUCCCAAUUCCCAUUCGAUGUAAUUUUUACACCACUGUGGCCACCGUCCUUUCCUCUACAGGUUGAUCGGAGCAAAACGCCAAAUCGCAACUCGUGCCGAAGGAGCCACCGCACCCGAGACCUCCGCCGCCGGUAAGUCUCGAUUUUCUGUAUUUUUUUGGCCCACCGAGGGCCUUACGUGUGUUUUCUUGCAGGAACUGGUGCUAGUUUGGCUGAAUUCGGUCGAAAAUAGCCGAAAACAGCCAACCCGAGGCGGAUCGCCGUCGUGGGCAGUGGCGCUGUUGCCGGAGCACGACGGAGCUGUCGUGCUGGAAUUUCAAAAUUGGCUGAGGAAGCCCUGGGUUUGAUUUGGAGGUUUUUGGGAACAUGUGCAGGUACCAGAAUUGUGUUUCAGUUCCUGAAAAAAAAUUCAGGGAAUUUAGGGACUGCCCAUAGGCACAAUAAAAAAUCGAUUUUAGACUUCGAAUCAAGUAAGGAUCUCUCACUCUAUUUCUU
Molecule: long non-coding RNA, 679 nt
Filed under: Carica papaya (papaya)
Lineage: Eukaryota; Viridiplantae; Streptophyta; Magnoliopsida; Brassicales; Caricaceae
Description: long non-coding RNA (CPAP_LNC000214)
Source: RNAcentral